UACGUAGGAUGCAGGCGUUGUCCGGAAUUAUUGGGCGUAAAGAGUGCGCAGGCGGUUUUACAAGUCAGAUGUGAAAUAUCCGGGCUUAACCCGGAGGGGUCAUUUGAAACUGUAAGACUAGAGUACAGCAGAGGAUAGCGGAAUUCCCGGUGUAGUGGUGAAAUGCGUAGAUAUCGGGAGGAACACCAGUGGCGAAGGCGGCUAUCUGGGCUGAAACUGACGCUGAGGCGCGAAGGCUAGGGGAGCAAACAGG
Molecule: ribosomal RNA, 253 nt
Filed under: uncultured bacterium
Lineage: Bacteria
Description: partial 16S ribosomal RNA
Rfam family: Bacterial small subunit ribosomal RNA
Source: RNAcentral